RNAcentral lists this ribosomal RNA (381 nucleotides) under uncultured Methanobacteria archaeon. RNAcentral describes it as "bacterial SSU rRNA". It matches the Rfam family "Archaeal small subunit ribosomal RNA", at positions 471 to 851 of the family's 1478-position model. The record is from RNAcentral. Lineage: Archaea; Methanobacteriati; Methanobacteriota; Methanobacteria.
UAACACCGGCGGCCCGAGUGGUAAUCACUUUUAUUGGGUCUAAAGGGUCCGUAGCCGGUUUGAUCAGUUCUUCGGGAAAUCUGACAGCUCAACUGUUAGGCUUCCGGGGAAUACUGUCAGACUUGGGACCGGGAGAGGUAAGAGGUACUACAGGGGUAGGAGUGAAAUCUUGUAAUCCCUGUGGGACCACCAGUGGCGAAGGCGUCUUACCAGAACGGGUCCGACGGUGAGGGACGAAAGCUGGGGGCACGAACCGGAUUAGAUACCCGGGUAGUCCCAGCCGUAAACGAUGUUCGCUAGGUGUCAGGGGCGGUGCGACCGCUUCUGGUGCCGUAGGGAAGCCGUGAAGCGAACCACCUGGGAAGUACGGCCGCAAGGCUG